AUGACAAAACUACAACAACAAAAUUCCAACAACAACCACAACAUUGACUCCAACUACAAUGACAAAAAUUCCAACAACAACCACCACAUUGACUCGAACUACAACAACAAAAGUUACAACAACCACAACAUUGACUCCAACUACAAUGACAAAAGUUCCAACAACAACCACCACAUUGACUCCAACUACAACGACAAAAGUUCCAACAACAACCACCACAUUGACUCCAACUACAACAACAAAAGUUCCAACAACAACCGCCACAUUGACUCCAACUACAACGACAAACGUUCCAACAACAACAAUCACAUUGACUCCAACCACAAAAGUUCCAACAACAACCACCACAUUGACUCCAACUACAACGACAAAAAUUCCAACAACAACCACCACAGUGACUCCAACUACAACGACAAAAGUUCCAACAACAACCACCACAUUGACUCCAACUACAAAAAUUCCAACAACAACCACCACAUGGACUCCAGCUACAACAACAGGAGUUCCAACAACAACCACCACAUUGACUCCAACUACAAAAGUUACAACAACCACCACCACACUGACUCCAACUACAAUGACAAAAGUUCAAACAACAACCACCACAUUGACUCCAACUACAAAGCCAAAAAUUCCACCAACAAACAGAAUGAAUCCAACCACAUCUCUAGAAGUUCCACCACCAGGUACCCCAUCAGCCUCAGGUGGUGCGCUGGUGCUGUAAAAAGUCAGGAAAGAAUCUGUCAGAGGAUCCUUACGUUUCUGAAAAAAAGAGCACCCCGAACAUGGAUUCUUUCCCAACACAAGUACCCCAAACCCCUAUAGGAGAGCCACUCAAUGUCAAUACCUUUCAGGCCAUUACUGACCCACAGAAGAAGAAUAAAACAGGCAUGUACGUAGUGAACCCCUGAACAGGAAGAUGUGGUGGCAACAUACAGGCAUCUCCAGUCAGCUGGGCUACAGAUUGAGCAAUUGAAGCCAAGUAGAAGCCAUUGUACACUCACCUAAAGGAUUAUUAAGAACACCAUACUAAUACUGUGUUUG
This is a long non-coding RNA of Esox lucius (northern pike), 1044 nucleotides long. RefSeq annotates it as probable serine/threonine-protein kinase clkA. The record is from RefSeq and is a predicted model, not a curated record. The transcript is spliced from 6 exons. NCBI's taxonomy places the organism in Eukaryota, Metazoa, Chordata, Actinopteri, Esociformes, Esocidae.